GCGGUGCAGGCGCGCGCCCAACGGCUUUGCGAGGCUCACUCGGUCUGAGAGGUCGGAGGCUGCGAGUGUCGCUGCUGAAGGCUGUGGUGGACUGGGCUGGAUCGCGGAUUUUGGAUUAGAUAAUAGAUUUGGGAUCGCGGAUUGGGGGUUGGAUCGCGGAUUUGGGGUUGGAUCGGGGAUUUGGGGUUGGAUAGGGGAUUUGGGGCUGGGUCGGCGGGGGCGUGGGGGGAGGUGAAAAGGUAACAGGGAGCUGCCCCCUCUCAAGAGCCGGUAGUUGGGAGUCUGAGAAGUCACCACCAUGAAGUUGUUCGGCUUCAGGAGCCGCAGGGGCCAGACGGUCCUGGGCUCCAUAGACCACCUCUACACGGGUUCCGGGUACCGAAUCCGGUACUCGGAACUGCAGAAGAUCCACAAGGCAGCUGUCAAGGGCGACGCUGCGGAGAUGGAGCGCUGUCUGGCGCGCAGGAGCGGAGACCUUGACGCCCUGGACAAGCAGCACAGAACUGCUCUACAUUUGGCCUGUGCCAGUGGCCAUGUGAAAGUGGUCACUCUCCUGGUUAACAGAAAAUGCCAGAUUGAUAUCUAUGACAAAGAAAAUAGAACGCCUUUGAUACAGGCUGUCCAUUGCCAGGAAGAGGCUUGUGCCGUUAUUCUGCUGGAACAUGGUGCCAAUCCAAACCUUAAGGAUAUCUACGGCAACACUGCUCUCCAUUAUGCUGUGUAUAGUGAGAGCACCUCACUGGCAGAAAAACUGCUUUUCCAUGGUGAAAAUAUUGAAGCACUGGACAAGGACAGUAAUACCCCACUUUUAUUCGCUAUAAUUUGCAAGAAAGAGAAAAUGGUGGAAUUUUUAUUGAAAAACAAAGCAAGUACACAUGCCGUUGAUAGGCUGAGAUGAACAGCCCUCAUGCUUGCUGUGCACUAUGACUCACUGGGUAUUGUCAACAUCCUUCUUAAGCAAAGUAUUAAUGUCUUUACUCAAGACAUGUGUGGACGAGAUGCAGAAGAUUACGCUAUUUCUUGCCGUUUGACAAAAAUUCAACAACAAAUUUUGGAGCAUAAAAAGAUGAUACUUAAAAAUGACAAACCAGAUGUUGGAAGUUCUGAUGAAUCUGCAGUCAGCAUUUUCCAUGAACUGUGUGUGGAUUCAUUGUCUGCAUUGGAUGACGAACUCUUGAGUGUUGCUGCUAAGCAGUGUGUCCCCGAGAAAGUGUCAGAGCCUUUACGUGGACCUUCCCAUGGAAAAGGAAACAGAAUAGUCAAUGGAAAAGGAGAAGGGCCUCCUGCAAAACAUCCUUCCUUGAAGCCUAGCACUGAAAUGGAAGAUCCUGCUGUGAAAGGAGCAGUACAAAAAAGAAUGUACAGACAUUGAGAGCAGAACAAGCCUUACCAGUGGCUUCAGAGGAAGAACAGCAAAGGCGUGAAAGAAGUGAAAAGAAGCAACCACAGGUCAUAGAAGGAAAUAAUACAUACAAAAGUGAAAAAAUACAACUAUCAGAAAAUAUAUGUCAUAGUACAUUUUCUGCUGCUGCUGACAGAUUAACCCAACAAAGAAAGAUUGGGAAAACAUAUCCUCAGCAAUUUCCCAAGAAACUGAAGGAAGAGCAUGAUAGAUGCACCUUAAAACAAGAAAAUGAAGAAAAAACAAAUGUUAAUAUGCUGCACAAAAAAAAUCGAGAAGAAUUAGAAAGGAAAGAGAAACAAUAUAAGAAAGAAGUUGAAGCAAAACAACUUGAACCAACUGUUCAAUCACUAGAGAUGAAACCAAAGACUGCAAGAAAUACUCCAAAUCAGGAUUUUCAUAAUCAUGAAGAAGUGAAAGAUCUGAUGGAUGAAAAUUGCAUUUUGAAGACAGAUAUUGCUAUACUCAGACAGGAAAUAUGCACAAUGAAAAAUGACAACCUGGAAAAAGAAAAUAAAUAUCUUAAGGACAUUAAAAUUGCUAAAGAAACAAAUGCUGCCCUUGAAAAGUGUAUAAAACUCAAUGAGGAAAUGAUAACAAAAACAGCAUUCUGGUAUCAACAAGAGCUUAAUGAUCUCAAAGCUGAGAAUACAAGGCUCAAUUCUGAACUGUUGAAGGAAAAAGAAAGCAAGAAAAAACUGGAAGCUGAAAUUGAAUCUUAUCAGUCUAGACUGGCUGCUGCUAUAUAAGUAAACACAGUGAAAAUGUGAAAACAGAAAGAAACCUAAAACUUGCUUUAGAGAGAACACAAGAUAUUUCUGAGCAAGUAAAAAUGAGUUCUGAUAUUUCCGAAAUAGAAGAUAAGAAUUAGUUUCUUACUGAACAACUUUCUAAAAUGCAAAUUAAAUUCAAUACCUUAAAAGAUAAUUCCGUAAGACAAGAGAUACUCUCAGAAAAAAGUCAUUGGCUUUAGAAACUGUACAAAACGACCUAAGCCAAACACAGCAGCAAAUAAAGGAAAUGAAAGAGAUGUAUCAAAGUGCAGAAGCUAAAGUCAGUAAAUCCACUGGAAAGUGGAACUGUGUGGAAGAGAGGAUAUGUCAACUCCAACGUGAAAAUCCGUGGCUUGAACAGCAACUAGUUGAUGUUCAUCAGAAAGAGGAUCAUAAAGAGAUAGUAAUUAAUAUCCAAAGAGGCUUUAUUGAGAGUAGAAAGAAAGACCUCAUGCUAGAAGAGAAAAAUAAGAAGCUAAUGAAUGAAUAUGAUCAUUUAAAAGAAAGUCUCUUUCAAUAUGAGAGACAGAAAGCAGAAACAGUAGUAAGUAUCAAGGAAGAUAAAUAUUUUCAAACUUCUAGAAAGAAAGUUUAAACAUUUGGUUCUGGAUACAUGUUGAACCUAGUUGAAUAUAAAAAUCAGUAGAUAAAAAGUGUGUUUACUAUACUGUAUAAUUCCAUUUACAUGAAGCAUCCAGAAAAGAGAAAGGUAUAGGUACAAAAAGUAGAAUAAUGUUUGUGAAGGGCUGGGGCUGGAAGCUGGUAGUGACUGCUAAUGGGCGUGAGGGAUCUUGCAGUGAUGGAAAUGCUCUAAAGUUGGAUUGUAGAGAUGGCUGCACAGCUCAGAAAAUGUACUAAAAAUCUUUUAACUUUAUGUUAAAACAGAUACAUUCUAUAGUAUGUAAAUUAUAUUUCAACAAAGCUUUUUGGUUUAAAAAAAAAGGAAAAAUGUGUUCACUACAUCAGCUUAGAAACAUAACUUGUUUCCAUAGAGGUGAGAGAUGAUUUACUUUGAGAGAAGACAUUGUGUCACCUAUGACAUUUUAUUAGGCACAGAGUCAUAUUUUAAGGUAGAUAGUCCUGUAGUGCUGAAAUAAUAAUUUUAAUGUCUUUAUAUUGCCACAUGUUAAGACCAUGGUGAAGGUAUAAAUGGAAAUGUUUACACCUGAAAUGAGUAUUUUCAAAUUAAAAUUUAAUUAAGUGAUUUGCUUCAACACUUAAUUCUAGAUUUCCCAGAUGAACUGAAGUGUAUUGCUGUAUCUUGUAAUAUCUUGCUUUAAGUAGUUUUUUAUAUAUUUUAGUUGGUAUAGCUUUAUUAUUAUUCAUAUUAAUUUAACUUAAAUCUGAAAAUGUCAGUCUCAAAUUACAUAUUUUAAUGACCACGUAAUGUUUUAAAGGCACCUACUUGUUAUAAAAUUAUAAUUUAGGGUAAAUGUGGUAAAUUUUAGCAAAACUAUAUUUGAUUUAGUCUUCCCACUCGUAUUCAUAAUUUACUUUGAAUAUUUUUAUUAAUAAUUAGCUCAUAAUUUUUA
RNA transcript from Homo sapiens (human), 3707 nucleotides. It is a transcript of the gene named ankyrin repeat domain 20 family member A5, pseudogene, with no coding region annotated. Lineage: Eukaryota; Metazoa; Chordata; Mammalia; Primates; Hominidae. The record is from RefSeq and is marked validated. The transcript is spliced from 16 exons.